AUGUCCCACGACGAUCCCCCGCCGGCUCCCGCCAAGAAGAAAUCGCCCGCCGAGGAGGCGGCCGAGAAGAGGAGGGAGAAGCUUACCCCUGGGAGUUUGAUGAAGGCGGUUAUCCGGUCAGGCAGGGGAGACGCGACUCCUGCAGAUGGAGAUCAGGUCAUACUUCAUUGCACUAUUCGAACCAUGGAGGGCAUUGUUGUGAAUUCUACAAGAAGGGAACAUGGAGGAAAAGGAAUCCCACUCAGAUUUGUGUUGGGGAAAAGCAAAAUGAUCCUUGGCUUUGCUGAAGGCUUUCCAACAAUGCUGAAGGGUGAAAUUGCUAUGUUUAAAAUGGAGCCGAAAAUACACUAUGCAGAGGAUGAUUGCCCGGUUACACCUCCAGAUGGCUUCCCAAAAGAUGAUGAGCUUCAGUUUGAGGUUGAGAUGUUGGAUUUCUUUAAAGCCAAGGUCGUGACUGAGGAUUUAGGGGUUGUAAAGAAGAUAGUUGAUGAAGGCAAGGGGUGGGAAACACCUAGAGAACCAUAUGAAGUGACAGCACGGAUAACUGCAAGAACAGCAGAUGGAAAAGAAAUUCUUCCCAGUAAAGAAGUGCCAUAUUUCUUCACUUUGGGUAAAUCUGAGGCACCUAAAGGCCUUGAGAUGGGAAUUGGAACAAUGGCACGCAAGGAAAAAGCAACUAUUUAUGUUACCAAUACCUAUUUGACAGAGUCCUCAGUAAUGCCGCAACUUGAAGGCCUUGAAGAAGUUCAUUUUGAGGUGGAACUUGUUCAGUUUACUCAGGUGAGGGAUAUGCUUGGUGAUGGACGCCUCAUAAAGCGCCGUGUAGUUGAUGGAAGUGGUGAAUUUCCUAUGGACUGCCCCCUUCAUGAUAGCUUGUUAAGAGUUCAUUACAAGGGGAUGCUCCUUGAUGAACCAAAGUCAGUAUUUUAUGAUACACAAAUUGAUAAUGAUGGGGAACCAUUGGAGUUCUGUUCUGGAGAAGGAUUGGUUCCUGAAGGAUUUGAAAUGUGUGUUCGACUAAUGCUUCCUGGUGAAAAAUCUAUUGUCACCUGCCCUCCAGAUUUUGCGUAUGAUAAAUUCCCAAGGCCAGCGAAUGUUCCUGAAGGAGCUCAUGUUCGGUGGGAAAUUGAAUUACUUGGAUUUGAAGUUCCCAAGGAUUGGACUGGCUUGACCUUCAAAGAAAUCAUGGAAGAGGCAGAUAAAAUUAAGAACACGGGUAACAGACUAUUUAAAGAAGGAAAAUUUGAACUUGCAAAAGCAAAAUACGAGAAGUUGCUUAGGGAGUAUAACCACGUGCAUCCUCAAGACGAUGAAGAGGGGAAAAUCUUUGCCAAUUCAAGAAGUUCUCUACAUCUAAAUGUAGCUGCUUGCUACCAGAAGAUGGGUGAGUACAGGAAGUCUAUUGAAGCGUGCAAUAAGGUGCUUGAUGCAAAUCCUGUGCAUGUCAAAGCACUCUACCGCCGAGGAAUGUCAUACAUGUUAGGUGGGGACUUUGGUGAUGCAAAGAACGAUUUUGAGAAGAUGGUAACCGUUGAUAAGUCCUCGGAACCUGAUGCUACAGCGGCCCUUGUUAAACUUAAACAGAAGGAACAGGAAAUUGAAAAGAAGGCAAGGAAGCAGUUCAAAGGACUAUUUGACAAGAAGCCAGGAGAGAUAUCUGAAGUUGGUGUGGAGUCCAAGAAUGGUGGCGACACGGCAGGGUCUGGCGAGGCAGUGACAAGUAGGGAUAGAAAUGGAAGCGGGAAGUCUAGUCCUCCGAGUGCAGAGUCAGAUCAUGCCUUUGAUGAAGAGAGGCCAGGACUUAUUGGCCGCAUCUGGCCUUCUGCGAGGCGGAUUUUCUCCUCCCUUGGUAUGAACAGGUGCACAAUACUCUGA
This 1875-nucleotide ribosomal RNA is filed under the name Triticum aestivum (bread wheat). Its description in RNAcentral is "partial small subunit ribosomal RNA". Lineage: Eukaryota; Viridiplantae; Streptophyta; Magnoliopsida; Poales; Poaceae. The record is from RNAcentral.